RNAcentral lists this transfer RNA (69 nucleotides) under chicken gut metagenome. It matches the Rfam family "tRNA". From Rfam's summary of the family: Transfer RNA (tRNA) molecules are approximately 80 nucleotides in length. The record is from RNAcentral.
CAAAAUAGCUCAGUUGGUAGAGCAACGGACUCGUAACCCGGAGGUCAGCAGUUCGAUUCUGCUUUUUGG